CCGACUUACGUUGAAAAGUGAGCGGAUGAACUGAGGGUAGCGGAGAAAUUCCAAUCGAACCUGGAGAUAGCUGGUUCUCUCCGAAAUAGCUUUAGGGCUAGCCUCAAGUGAUGAUUAUUGGAGGUAGAGCACUGUUUGGACGAGGGGCCCCUCUCGGGUUACCGAAUUCAGACAAACUCCGAAUGCCAAUUAAUUUAACUUGGGAGUCAGAACAUGGGUGAUAAGGUCCGUGUUCGAAAGGGAAACAGCCCAGACCACCAGCUAAGGUCCCAAAAUAUAUGUUAAGUGGAAAAGGAUGUGGCGUUGCCCAGACAACUAGGAUGUUGGCUUAGAAGCAGCCAUCAUUUAAAGAGUGCGUAAUAGCUCACUAGUCGAGUGACACUGCGCCGAAAAUGUACCGGGGCUAAACAUAUUACCGAAGCUGUGGAUUGUCCUUUGGACAAUGGUAGGAGAGCGUUCUAAGGGCGUUGAAGCAUGAUCGUAAGGACAUGUGGAGCGCUUAGAAGUGAGAAUGCCGGUGUGAGUAGCGAAAGACGGGUGAGAAUCCCGUCCACCGAUUGACUAAGGUUUCCAGAGGAAGGCUCGUCCGCUCUGGGUUAGUCGGGUCCUAAGCUGAGGCCGACAGGCGUAGGCGAUGGAUAACAGGUUGAUAUUCCUGUACCACCUAUAAUCGUUUUAAUCGAUGGGGGGACGCAGUAGGAUAGGCGAAGCGUGCGAUUGGAUUGCACGUCUAAGCAGUAAGGCUGAGUAUUAGGCAAAUCCGGUACUCGUUAAGGCUGAGCUGUGAUGGGGAGAAGACAUUGUGUCUUCGAGUCGUUGAUUUCACACUGCCGAGAAAAGCCUCUAGAUAGAAAAUAGGUGCCCGUACCGCAAACCGACACAGGUAGUCAAGAUGAGAAUUCUAAGGUGAGCGAGCGAACUCUCGUUAAGGAACUCGGCAAAAUGACCCCGUAACUUCGGGAGAAGGGGUGCUCUUUAGGGUUAACGCCCAGAAGAGCCGCAGUGAAUAGGCCCAAGCGACUGUUUAUCAAAAACACAGGUCUCUGCUAAACCGUAAGGUGAUGUAUAGGGGCUGACGCCUGCCCGGUGCUGGAAGGUUAAGAGGAGUGGUUAGCUUCUGCGAAGCUACGAAUCGAAGCCCCAGUAAACGGCGGCCGUAACUAUAACGGUCCUAAGGUAGCGAAAUUCCUUGUCGGGUAAGUUCCGACCCGCACGAAAGGCGUAACGAUUUGGGCACUGUCUCAACGAGAGACUCGGUGAAAUCAUAGUACCUGUGAAGAUGCAGGUUACCCGCGACAGGACGGAAAGACCCCGUGGAGCUUUACUGUAGCCUGAUAUUGAAAUUCGGCACAGCUUGUACAGGAUAGGUAGGAGCCUUUGAAACGUGAGCGCUAGCUUACGUGGAGGCGCUGGUGGGAUACUACCCUAGCUGUGUUGGCUUUCUAACCCGCACCACUUAUCGUGGUGGGAGACAGUGUCAGGCGGGCAGUUUGACUGGGGCGGUCGCCUCCUAAAAGGUAACGGAGGCGCUCAAAGGUUCCCUCAGAAUGGUUGGAAAUCAUUCAUAGAGUGUAAAGGCAUAAGGGAGCUUGACUGCGAGACCUACAAGUCGAGCAGGGUCGAAAGACGGACUUAGUGAUCCGGUGGUUCCGCAUGGAAGGGCCAUCGCUCAACGGAUAAAAGCUACCCCGGGGAUAACAGGCUUAUCUCCCCCAAGAGUUCACAUCGACGGGGAGGUUUGGCACCUCGAUGUCGGCUCAUCGCAUCCUGGGGCUGUAGUCGGUCCCAAGGGUUGGGCUGUUCGCCCAUUAAAGCGGUACGCGAGCUGGGUUCAGAACGUCGUGAGACAGUUCGGUCCCUAUCCGUCGUGGGCGUAGGAAAUUUGAGAGGAGCUGUCCUUAGUACGAGAGGACCGGGAUGGACAUACCUCUGGUGUACCAGUUGUCGUGCCAACGGCAUAGCUGGGUAGCUAUGUGUGGACGGGAUAAGUGCUGAAAGCAUCUAAGCAUGAAGCCCCCCUCAAGAUGAGAUUUCCCAACUUCGGUUAUAAGAUCCCUCAAAGAUGAUGAGGUUAAUAGGUUCGAGGUGGAAGCAUGGUGACAUGUGGAGCUGACGAAUACUAAUCGAUCGAAGACUUAAUCAA
RNAcentral lists this ribosomal RNA (2143 nucleotides) under Staphylococcus aureus. RNAcentral's name for it is "partial 23S ribosomal RNA". It matches the Rfam family "Bacterial large subunit ribosomal RNA", at positions 776 to 2925 of the family's 2925-position model. Lineage: Bacteria; Bacillati; Bacillota; Bacilli; Caryophanales; Staphylococcaceae. The record is from RNAcentral.